GAUGAAGAACGCAGCAAAAUGCGAUAAGUAAUGUGAAUUGCAGAAUUCAGUGAAUCAUCGAAUCUUUGAACGCACAUUGCGCCCGCUGGUAUUCCGGCGGGCAUGCCUGUUCGAGCGUCAUUUCAACCCUCAAGCCCCCGGGUUUGGUGUUGGGGAUCGGCUCUGCCCUUCUGGGCGGUGCCGCCCCCGAAAUACAUUGGCGGUCUCGCUGCAGCCUCCAUUGCGUAGUAGCUAACACCUCGCAACUGGAACGCGGCGCGGCCAUGCCGUAAAACCCCAACUUCUGAAUGUUGACCUUGGAUCAGGUAGGAAUACCCGCUGAACUUAAGCAUAUCAAUAGCGGAGGA
RNAcentral lists this unclassified non-coding RNA (347 nucleotides) under soil metagenome. Its description in RNAcentral is "partial contains 5.8S ribosomal RNA, internal transcribed spacer 2, and large subunit ribosomal RNA". The stretch from base 1 to 120 matches the Rfam family "5.8S ribosomal RNA", at positions 35 to 154 of the family's 154-position model. The record is from RNAcentral.